CAAUGGAUCUGCUUUGCAACA
This 21-nucleotide microRNA is filed under the name Monopterus albus (swamp eel). RNAcentral describes it as "Mal-Mir-33-P1b_3p (mature (co-guide))". Lineage: Eukaryota; Metazoa; Chordata; Actinopteri; Synbranchiformes; Synbranchidae. The record is from RNAcentral.